UACAGAGGGGGCUAGCGUUGUUCGGAAUUACUGGGCGUAAAGCGCGCGUAGGCGGACCUGCAAGUCGGGGGUGAAAGCCCGAGGCUCAACCUCGGAACUGCCUUCGAUACUGCGGGUCUCGAGUCCGGGAGAGGUGAGUGGAAUUCCUAGUGUAGAGGUGAAAUUCGUAGAUAUUAGGAGGAACACCCGUGGCGAAAGCGGCUCUCUGGGACGGUACUGACGCUGAGACGCGAAAGCGUGGGGAGCAAACGGG
This 253-nucleotide ribosomal RNA is filed under the name uncultured bacterium. RNAcentral describes it as "partial 16S ribosomal RNA". It matches the Rfam family "Bacterial small subunit ribosomal RNA", at positions 524 to 776 of the family's 1533-position model. The record is from RNAcentral.